Molecule: ribosomal RNA, 349 nt
Filed under: uncultured Caulobacteraceae bacterium
Lineage: Bacteria; Pseudomonadati; Pseudomonadota; Alphaproteobacteria; Caulobacterales; Caulobacteraceae
Description: bacterial SSU rRNA
Rfam family: Bacterial small subunit ribosomal RNA
Source: RNAcentral
UAGUGAGUUUGAUCCUGGCUCAGGAUGAACGCUGGCGGUCUGCUUAACACAUGCAAGUCGAACGGAACCUUUCGGGGUUUAGUGGCGGACGGGUGAGUAACACGUGGGAACGUGCCUUUUGGUUCGGAAUAGCUCCUGGAAACGGGUGGUAAUGCCGAAUGUGCCCUUCGGGGGAAAGAUUUAUCGCCAUUAGAGCGGCCCGCGUCUGAUUAGCUAGUUGGUGAGGUAAAGGCUCACCAAGGCGACGAUCAGUAGCUGGUCUGAGAGGAUGACCAGCCACAUUGGGACUGAGACACGGCCCAGACUCCUACGGGAGGCAGCAGUGGGGAAUUUCCGCAAUGGGCGAAAG